This 354-nucleotide long non-coding RNA is filed under the name Mytilus galloprovincialis (Mediterranean mussel). The record is from RNAcentral. Lineage: Eukaryota; Metazoa; Mollusca; Bivalvia; Mytilida; Mytilidae.
GUAAAACGCUUGCCGAAGUGGGGCGUCCGUUUGGCUGUGCGGGAUGUAUCAAGUUCGCAGUCACGUCCGGUCAGAAGGGGGACGUUAAAUCCGAUGCCUCGUGUAAGGAGAGUGCCACGCUCUUUGCACGUUAAGAACCCUUGCGACAACUCUUUGAGGGGUCCGUAGGUGGCCUGUUGCAAGGCAAAAUUUCUGUCCCUAUCCAAUAUACCCUCAUUUUCCAGUGGCAGUCCAAAUUUCCCCGACCAUCAUUCUAGAUGACCUCUAUUACAACAACCUACCUAUUGUAUUUAUUGUUAACUUGUUCUCGUCCUGAAUAUGCAUGAAAUAUUUGCCACUGGACGUUAAGCAACC